RNAcentral lists this ribosomal RNA (468 nucleotides) under uncultured bacterium. RNAcentral describes it as "partial 16S ribosomal RNA". It matches the Rfam family "Bacterial small subunit ribosomal RNA", at positions 28 to 507 of the family's 1533-position model. The record is from RNAcentral.
GACGAACGCUGGCGGCGUGCUUAACACAUGCAAGUCGAACGGAAAGGCCCUGCUUUUGUGGGGUGCUCGAGUGGCGAACGGGUGAGUAACACGUGAGUAACCUGCCCUUGACUUUGGGAUAACUUCAGGAAACUGGGGCUAAUACCGGAUAGGAGCUCCUGCUGCAUGGUGGGGGUUGGAAAGUUUCGGCGGUUGGGGAUGGACUCGCGGCUUAUCAGCUUGUUGGUGGGGUAGUGGCUUACCAAGGCUUUGACGGGUAGCCGGCCUGAGAGGGUGACCGGCCACAUUGGGACUGAGGUACGGCCCAGACUCCUACGGGAGGCAGCAGUGGGGAACAUUGCACAGUGGGCGGAAGCCAGAUGCAGCAACGCCGCGUGCGGGAUGACGGCCUUCGGGUUGUAAACCGCUUUCGCCUGUGACGAAGCGUGAGUGACGGUAAUGGGUAAAGAAGCACCGGCUAACUACGUG